CGGCCUCGGAUCAGGGAGU
Molecule: ribosomal RNA, 19 nt
Filed under: Limenitis helmanni
Lineage: Eukaryota; Metazoa; Arthropoda; Insecta; Lepidoptera; Nymphalidae
Description: partial 28S ribosomal RNA
Source: RNAcentral